RNAcentral lists this non-coding RNA (149 nucleotides) under uncultured Eubacterium sp. RNAcentral describes it as "THF riboswitch". It matches the Rfam family "THF (Tetrahydrofolate) riboswitch aptamer". Rfam says of the family: THF riboswitch presents a pseudoknot that joins P1-P2 and the loop of P3 and two THF binding. Lineage: Bacteria; Bacillati; Bacillota; Clostridia; Eubacteriales; Eubacteriaceae. The record is from RNAcentral.
GCAAAGUAGGACAGCAUGCGUAGUGUUCCUGGUACUGGGAGUUGACCGGGAAACGAAUGUUAGCCGGGCGUCUGGCCAGAGCCAUUGCGGGCGAUCAGCCGGGAGACGUCAGACCAAUGGCCGCGCGGUAUGCUGUCCGCAUCCCGUUG